This 404-nucleotide ribosomal RNA is filed under the name Fusobacteriota bacterium. RNAcentral's name for it is "Fusobacteria bacterium partial 16S ribosomal RNA". It matches the Rfam family "Bacterial small subunit ribosomal RNA", at positions 355 to 776 of the family's 1533-position model. The record is from RNAcentral. Lineage: Bacteria; Fusobacteriati; Fusobacteriota.
UGGGGAAUAUUGCACAAUGGAGGGAACUCUGAUGCAGCGACGCCGCGUGAGUGAUGAAGGAAUUCGUUUCGUAAAACUCUGUUCUAUGGGAAGAAAAGGACUGUACCAUAGGAGAAAGCUCCGGCUAAAUACGUGCCAGCAGCCGCGGUAAUACGUAUGGAGCGAGCGUUGUCCGGAAUUAUUGGGCGUAAAGGGUGCGCAGGCCGCUUUACAAGUUGGAUGUGAAAUAUUGUGGCUCAACCACAAACGUGCAUCCAAAACUGCAAAGCUUGAGUUAAGGAGAGGUAAGUGGAAUUCCUGGUGUAGCGGUGGAAUGCGUAGAUAUCAGGAGGAAUACCGGUGGCGAAGGCGACUUACUGGACUUAAACUGACGCUCAGGCACGAAAGCGUGGGGAGCAAACAGG